This 425-nucleotide ribosomal RNA is filed under the name uncultured bacterium. RNAcentral describes it as "bacterial SSU rRNA". It matches the Rfam family "Bacterial small subunit ribosomal RNA", at positions 356 to 773 of the family's 1533-position model. The record is from RNAcentral.
GGGGAAUAUUGGACAAUGGGGGCAACCCUGAUCCAGCCAUGCCGCGUGUGUGAAGAAGGCCUUCGGGUUGUAAAGCACUUUAAGCAGGGAGGAAGGCUUGAAGAUUAAUAAUCUUCAGGAGUGACGUCACCUGCAGAAUAAGCACCGGCAAACUCCGUGCCAGCAGCCGCGGUAAUACGGAGGGUGCGAGCGUUAAUCGGAAUUACUGGGCGUAAAGCGUGCGUAGGCGGUUUAUUAAGUCGCAUGUGAAAUCCCCGGGCUCAACCUGGGUGCUGCAUUCGAUACUGGUAGACUCGAAUACGGUAGAGGGGGGUGGAAUUCCAGGUGUAGCGGUGAAAUGCGUAGAGAUCUGGAGGAACACCAGUGGCGAAGGCGGCCCCCUGGACCGAUAUUGACGCUGAGGCACGAAAGCGUGGGGAGCAAAC